UGGGCCAACAUGACAUUAAUAUAAUUUUAUUAAUCCAUACCAAAUAGACAAAACACAUUAUUGUAAUAAAUCGAAGAAAAAUUUUCAUUUACAUAUUGCCCAUUAAAUCAACAUCAUUUUACACUCCUCUUAAACAAUAAAAAAUUAUUGUAUAAAAGAAGAUAAUUUACAACUUGUUGUCUUCAAACUAUUGGGUUGGCUAAAUCUCAAAAAUCAUUCCCAGUACUUUCUUCGUAGCCUGCAUAUUUCUUAUAGGAAAGAGCCUCCCACCUUGAAGAUACUUGGUGCUUCGACAAAACAGCAUUUGGAGUCUGUAUUUCUUCAAUCCAUAGUGAAAGAGGUAUCACCUGAAAUGUUUAGGAGAAGUUCAUUUAUAUCAUAACACCGUAAUCAACAACCAGAAGAUUGCACUAUAGUCCAGGCUACCAUAAGAGCAUGAACAGACAAAAAAAUCUCUUGUCAUCUCUAGAACUUAUGUUAAAUGCCUUCUGACCUAGAUGGAACUUCGGUAAAUUUUACCAAGAGAUUAUGUGUGUGGUGUCAAUAAAUAUAUGCUAUAAUCAAGUAGGAAAGAUAGGGACUAAACUGCCCACUUUCAAUUAUCCAUAUAGCUCAUAUCAAACAUUAUCAUAUAUCACAUCUCAAGAGUGCAUUCUUUAGAGUCCAAUUAUUGGAGAUACUUUGUCUGUGUAGAUAGAGUACACUAUUGACAAAAGUCGUUGCCAUCAUUUUAAUUCAUGUACGUAGGAAAUGCACGAAAUCAUAUUGACAACAACUAGGAGAGGUUCCCUAUUGCAACUACUUCUCCUCUUUAAGGGCCUUAUCAAUAAAUCUAGAUAGACAAUUUAACCCAUAGACAGUUUCAGAAAUCCCUAAUAUUAUGCCCCCACUAAUUUAAACAGCUCCCUCACUUAACAGGCUCCAUCUCACGAAACCCCAUGUUUCUUUCCUAUUAAAUACAAUUUUAUUUUGCAGAGAAUAAGAAUGGAUAAAGUCCACUAUGUUCAGAAGCAUAGCCAGAUGGCUGGUAUUGAUCAUUAUUCAUUCUUUUACAAGUCUAUGAAGGAACUUGUAGGCGAUGGAAACUUAAUUAGGUGAGCUCACUUAGUACAUCCUAAAUGCACUGCUCAUCAAGCUCACUUCCAUCUUUCAAUCACUAGUCAUUGCAAUCAGAACAUUU
Molecule: long non-coding RNA, 1180 nt
Filed under: Olea europaea subsp. europaea
Lineage: Eukaryota; Viridiplantae; Streptophyta; Magnoliopsida; Lamiales; Oleaceae
Source: RNAcentral